RNAcentral lists this ribosomal RNA (523 nucleotides) under uncultured bacterium. RNAcentral's name for it is "bacterial SSU rRNA". It matches the Rfam family "Bacterial small subunit ribosomal RNA", at positions 8 to 526 of the family's 1533-position model. The record is from RNAcentral.
AGAGUUUGAUCAUGGCUCAGAUUGAACGCUGGCGGCAGGCCUAACACAUGCAAGUCGAGCGGAUGAGAAGAGCUUGCUCUUCGAUUCAGCGGCGGACGGGUGAGUAAUGCCUAGGAAUCUGCCUGGUAGUGGGGGACAACGUUUCGAAAGGAACGCUAAUACCGCAUACGUCCUACGGGAGAAAGCAGGGGACCUUCGGGCCUUGCGCUAUCAGAUGAGCCUAGGUCGGAUUAGCUAGUUGGUGAGGUAAUGGCUCACCAAGGCGACGAUCCGUAACUGGUCUGAGAGGAUGAUCAGUCACACUGGAACUGAGACACGGUCCAGACUCCUACGGGAGGCAGCAGUGGGGAAUAUUGGACAAUGGGCGAAAGCCUGAUCCAGCCAUGCCGCGUGUGUGAAGAAGGUCUUCGGAUUGUAAAGCACUUUAAGUUGGGAGGAAGGGCAUUAACCUAAUACGUUAGUGUUUUGACGUUACCGACAGAAUAAGCACCGGCUAACUCUGUGCCAGCCGCCGCGGUAAUAC